GCCACUGGUGAGUCUUUUGCAGACAACUUUCCCAAUCCGUUCAAUACUCCUUCUGGAAAACUGUGGAUUCUCUGUGGUGCUGUGAAUGGAAGCUAAACUCUGACCACUCGGUUCAAAGGAAUUUGCUCCCCUCUGUGUAGGUUCAUCCUACAGUGUUUUGAAGUCAACAAGACAUAUCGUUUGUCCGCUACAGCUGCUCGUGUUGGACGACCACAGAUGGCGAAGAAUUUUCCAGUGAUAUUUUAGGCCCCUCCCACUGACCACAGUCUGUUGUUUCUUCAAUAGGAAUUUGCUCCCCUUUGUGUAGGUUCAUCGUACAGUGUUUUGAAGUCAACACGACAUAUCGUCUGUCCGCUACAGCUGCUCGUGUUGGACGACCACAGAAGCGGCGCCCUCUGAGAACGCAAGGCAUUGUGGGUAAAUUGGUUAUCUUUUGUUGUUUAGCUCUGAACAGUGAUAGUGUUUAUCAAAUAUGAAGCAGUUUGAACUUUGCAUUCUAGAGUUAUAAGCUUUUUCCUAUUACAGCGUGCUGAUGGCGAAGGAUUCUCCUGUGUCAUGAUAGGCCCCUCCCACUUUUCACAACCUGGUUUAUUUUCCAUAGCAAUGUGCUUCCAUCUAAUAAGAUUCAUCCUACAGUGUUUUGAAGUCAACACGACAUAUCGUCUGUCCGCUACAGCUGCUCGUGUUGGACGACCACAGAAGCGGCGCCCUCUGAGAACGCAAGGCAUUGUGGGAAUUUGCUCCCCUCUGUGUAGGUUCAUCGUACAGUGUUUUGAAGUCAACACGACAUAUCGUCUGUCCGCUACAGCUGCUCGUGUUGGACGACCACAGAAGCGGCGCCCUCUGAGAACGCAAGGCAUUGUGGGUACAUUGGUUAUCGUUUGUUGUUUAGCUCUGGACAGUGAUCGUGUGUAUCAAAUAUGAAGCAGUUUGAACUUUGCAUUCUAGAGUUAUAAGCUUUUUCCUAUUACAGCGUGCUGAUGGCGAAGGAUUCUCCUGUCAUGAUAGGCCCCUCCCACUUUUCACAACCUGGUUUAUUUUCCAUAGCAAUGUGCUUCCAUCUAAUAAGAUUCAUCCUACAGUGUUUUGAAGUCAACACGAUAUAUCGUCUGUCCGCUACAGCUGCUCGUGUUGGACGACCACAGAAGCGGCGCCCUCUGAGAACGCAAGGCAUUGUGGGUACAUUGGUUAUCGUUUGUUGUUUAGCUCUGGACAGUGAUCGUGUGUAUCAAAUAUGAAGCAGUUUGAACUUUGCACUCUAGAGUUAUAAGCGUUUUCGUAUUUAUGGCGUGGUGAUGGCGAGGGAUUUUCGUGUGUCAUUAUAGGCCCCUCCCACUGACCACAGUCUGUUGUUUCUUCAAUAGGAAUUUGCUCCCCUCUGUGUAGGUUCAUCCUACAGUGUUUUGAAGUCAACACGACAUAUCGUUUGUCCGCUACAGCUGCUCGUGUUGGACGACCACAAAUGGCGAAGAAUUUUCCAGUGAUAUUUUAGGCCCCUCCCACUGACCACAGUCUGUUGUUUCUUCAAUAGGAAUUUGCUCCCCUCUGUGUAGGUUCAUCGUACAGUGUUUUGAAGUCAACACGACAUAUCGUCUGUCCGCUACAGCUGCUCGUGUUGGACGACCACAGAAGCGGCGCCCUCUGAGAACGCAAGGCAUUGUGGGUAAAUUGGUUAUCGUUUGUUGUUUAGCUCUGGACAGUGAUUGUGUGUAUCAAAAAUGAAGCAGUUUGAACAUUGCAUUCUAGAGUUAUAAGCUUUUUCCUAGAACGGCGUCCUGUUGAUGCUAACCGUGUACAUGACCUUAAAUGACACCGGUCGAAAACACAAGGCAUGAUGGGAAAUGUUUCAAAGCAGUCAUGACCAAGCUUGGGCACAUGUCCUUUGUGUGAAAUUUGAAGCUGAUCGAAGUUUGUGUGUCAGAGU
This 1924-nucleotide long non-coding RNA is filed under the name Gouania willdenowi (blunt-snouted clingfish). RNAcentral's name for it is "lncRNA (ENSGWIG00000019972.1)". The record is from RNAcentral. Lineage: Eukaryota; Metazoa; Chordata; Actinopteri; Blenniiformes; Gobiesocidae.